This 497-nucleotide ribosomal RNA is filed under the name uncultured bacterium. Its description in RNAcentral is "partial 16S ribosomal RNA". It matches the Rfam family "Bacterial small subunit ribosomal RNA", at positions 28 to 507 of the family's 1533-position model. The record is from RNAcentral.
GAUGAACGCUGGCGGCGUGCCUAAUACAUGCAAGUCGAGCGAACAGACGAGGAGCUUGCUCCUCUGACGUUAGCGGCGGACGGGUGAGUAACACGUGGAUAACCUACCUAUAAGACUGGGAUAACUUCGGGAAACCGGAGCUAAUACCGGAUAAUAUAUUGAACCGCAUGGUUCAAUAGUGAAAGACGGUUUUGCUGUCACUUAUAGAUGUAUCCGCGCCGCAUUAGCUAGUUGGUAAGGUAACGGCUUACCAAGGCAACGAUGCGUAGCCGACCUGAGAGGGUGAACGGCCACACUGGAACUGAGACACGGUACAGACUCCUACGGGAGGCAGCAGUAGGGAAUCUUCCGCAAUGGGCGAAAGCCUGACGGAGCAACGCCGCGUGAGUGAUGAAGGUCUUCGGAUCGUAAAACUCUGUUAUUAGGGAAGAACAAAUGUGUAAGUAACUAUGCACGUCUUGACGGUACCUAAUCAGAAAGCCACGGCUAACUACGUG